CAGCAGCCGCGGUAAUACGGAGGGUGCAAGCGUUAUCCGGAUUCACUGGGUUUAAAGGGUGCGUAGGUGGGUUGGUAAGUCAGUGGUGAAAUCUCCGAGCUUAACUUGGAAACUGCCAUUGAUACUGUUGGUCUUGAGUACAGUUGCUGUGGGCGGAAUAUGACAUGUAGUGGUGAAAUACAUAGAGAUGUCAUAGAACACCGAUUGCGAAGGCAGCUCACAAAGCUGUAACUGACACUGAGGCUCGAAAGUGCGGGGAUCAAACAGGAUUAGAUACCCUGGUAGUCCGCACCGUAAACGAUGAUUACUCGCUGCUAGAUGGCAACAUUUAGUGGCUUAGCGAAAGCGAUAAGUAAUCCACCUGGGGAGUACGCCGGCAACGGUGAAACUCAAAGGAAUUGACGG
This 405-nucleotide ribosomal RNA is filed under the name uncultured bacterium. RNAcentral's name for it is "bacterial SSU rRNA". It matches the Rfam family "Bacterial small subunit ribosomal RNA", at positions 509 to 916 of the family's 1533-position model. The record is from RNAcentral.